GGAGGCCGCUUACCACGGUGGGAUUCAUGACUGGGGUGAAGUCGUAACAAGGUAGCCGUAGGGGAACCUGCGGCUGGAUCACCUCCUUUCUAGA
Molecule: ribosomal RNA, 94 nt
Filed under: Chromobacterium alticapitis
Lineage: Bacteria; Pseudomonadati; Pseudomonadota; Betaproteobacteria; Neisseriales; Chromobacteriaceae
Description: Chromobacterium sp. MWU14-2602 partial 16S ribosomal RNA
Rfam family: Bacterial small subunit ribosomal RNA
Source: RNAcentral